GCAGCCGCAGCGGGCCGGGCAGCGGUGCCUUGGCGGCGCCGACGGCACGCACAGGGCGCAGGAAGGGGUCGUUCGCGUCGAUCCGGCGGUG
RNAcentral lists this transfer RNA (91 nucleotides) under Streptomyces griseofuscus. RNAcentral's name for it is "tRNA-Pro". The record is from RNAcentral. RNAcentral also lists the same sequence under 2 other names. Lineage: Bacteria; Bacillati; Actinomycetota; Actinomycetes; Kitasatosporales; Streptomycetaceae.